This 253-nucleotide ribosomal RNA is filed under the name uncultured bacterium. RNAcentral describes it as "partial 16S ribosomal RNA". It matches the Rfam family "Bacterial small subunit ribosomal RNA", at positions 524 to 776 of the family's 1533-position model. The record is from RNAcentral.
UACGUAUGGUGCAAGCGUUAUCCGGAUUUACUGGGUGUAAAGGGAGCGCAGGCGGCACGGCAAGCCUGAUGUGAAAGCCCGCGGCCCAACCGCGGGACUGCAUUGGGAACUACCGGGCUGGAGUGCCGGAGAGGUAGGCGGAAUUCCUAGUGCAGCGGUGAAAUGCGUAGAUAUUAGGAGGAACACCAGUGGCGAAGGCGGCCUACUGGACGGUGACUGACGCUGAGGCUCGAAAGCGUGGGGAGCAAACAGG